This 867-nucleotide ribosomal RNA is filed under the name Triticum aestivum (bread wheat). RNAcentral describes it as "partial small subunit ribosomal RNA". The record is from RNAcentral. Lineage: Eukaryota; Viridiplantae; Streptophyta; Magnoliopsida; Poales; Poaceae.
AUGGAGAGUGUUCCAGUGUUGAUUGUUGGUGCUGGGCCAGCAGGCCUUGCAACGGCAGCAUGCCUUGGUCAAUUCUCGAUUCCUUAUGCCAUCGUCGAGCGCGAGAGCUGUAACGCGUCACUUUGGCGCAACCGUGCAUAUGAUCGCCUCAAGCUGCAUCUCGCAAAGGAGUUCUGUGAGUUGCCACACAUGUCAUACCCUGUAGAUGCACCAACAUACAUACCAAGAACCUUGUUUGUGAAGUACUUGGAUGACUAUGUUGAGCGUUUCAACAUUCAACCAAAGUAUCUCACUAGCGUGGAGUCAUCCACAUAUGACAAUGAUGAAAAAUGUUGGUCCAUUGUGGCAACGGACAUGUCAAAGUGCACCACAGUCAAGUUCACCACAAAGUUUCUUGUUGUGGAAAGUGGUGAGAAUAGUGCAGAGAAUAUUCCAAUGAUCCCUGGACUAGAAAACUUUCCAGGUGAUGUCAUCCACUCCUCAAGCUACAAGUCAGGCAAGAGCUACUCUGGGAAGAAUGUAUUGGUCGUUGGAUCUGGCAACUCCGGGAUGGAAAUUGCUUAUGACCUUGCGACCCAUGGUGCCAAUACAUCGAUUGUUAUACGAAGCCCGAUUCAUGUAAUGACAAAGGAAUUAAUUCGUUUGGGGAUGACACUUGCUCACCAUCUUCCAUUGAAUCUAGUGGAUAAACUCCUUGUGAUGGCAGCGUAUUUAAUAUUUGGAGACCUGUCACGACAUGGCAUCACAAGGCCAAAAAUGGGUCCAAUGACCCUCAAAUCAGAAACAGGCCGAUCUGCAGUGAUUGAUGUUGGGACUGUUGGAUUGAUCAAAAAAGGCAUCAUCAAAGUAAGUAUAUCCUUGACAUGA